CCUGCCGAGUCUCAGCAAUGUAGAAGUCCUGGUCUUCCAGCUGGACAAAUACAUCCGCAUCACUCAGCAGAUCAUUGAGAAGAUGGAGGAAGGAUCCAGGAGUGUAUCUGGUUCUGGGGGUGUUCAUGAGUGGAAAGUGAAGAACGGAACAAGUUGAAGAUAUUGAAGUAAAGAGUUCCAGAAUUUGGGGGCCAUGACUCUACAUACACUGCAUACAAACAUAAAACAUCACAGAAUGUGAUCAGGGCCAGAGAGCUGAGAGACAGAUGAAAAGGGAGAGAAUUUGAAGAAGUGCCAAAAAGGUGUGAGGAUCCACAGGCUUGAAUUUGCAGGUGGAGAUAAGGGAUUUUGUGGAGUUUGUGAUCAGCAACACCAAUCAGACGCCCAG
Molecule: long non-coding RNA, 388 nt
Organism: Ictalurus punctatus (channel catfish)
Lineage: Eukaryota; Metazoa; Chordata; Actinopteri; Siluriformes; Ictaluridae
Source: Ensembl